CCUGGAAGUGGGCCUACUCAGCCGUUCUCCUUUUUCUGGCUGACAAACCACCUCACCACUGGCCUGGGAUUCUCAACGGCUGAUCCGUGGGCGUGAUGAGCACAUCGAGGCUCCAAGAGAAUAAGGAAGGGCCCAAGGUCUCUUAAAUGGGAAAGCCCAGUCUGAAUGUCAGGUUCCCAGGCUCAAGGUCUUCACCAAAGCACAUCCAGAGGUGCCACACUGGAGAUCUGUUUUACCUUGAGCGAGUCAUCUCGCUUCCGAAUUUCCUGUCUCCAUUUGAAAACUGGACAUGAACUAAGAUUUCGCUUACAAGUUGUUGUGAGCAUCUGCUGAGUUGAGCUCUGGGCUCUGCUUGCCUCCGAAAGGAAGACAAGAAGAAAACAUUUAGUAAUGAAACCAAGAAAGCAAGCU
Molecule: long non-coding RNA, 411 nt
Organism: Pipistrellus kuhlii (Kuhl's pipistrelle)
Lineage: Eukaryota; Metazoa; Chordata; Mammalia; Chiroptera; Vespertilionidae
Exons: 3
Source: RefSeq, a predicted model, not a curated record